GACGGAGGGUGCAAGCGUUGUUCGGAAUUACUGGGCGUAAAGGGCGCGUAGGCGGUUUGCUAAGUUCGGUGUGAAAUCCCCCGGCUCACCUGGGGAACGGCGCUGGAAACUGGCAGACUUGAGUACCGGAGAGGAGGGUGGAAUUCCUGGUGUAGCGGUGAAAUGCGUAGAUAUCAGGAGGAACACCGGUGGCGAAGGCGGCCCUCUGGACGGAUACUGACGCUGAGGCGCGAAAGCGUGGGGAUCAAACAGG
Molecule: ribosomal RNA, 253 nt
Filed under: uncultured bacterium
Lineage: Bacteria
Description: partial 16S ribosomal RNA
Rfam family: Bacterial small subunit ribosomal RNA
Source: RNAcentral